Molecule: ribosomal RNA, 372 nt
Filed under: uncultured bacterium
Lineage: Bacteria
Description: bacterial SSU rRNA
Rfam family: Bacterial small subunit ribosomal RNA
Source: RNAcentral
UACGGAGGGUGCAAGCGUUAUCCGGAUUUAUUGGGUUUAAAGGGUGCGUAGGCGGAUUGAUAAGUCAGUGGUGAAAUCCUGCAGCUUAACUGUAGAACUGCCAUUGAUACUGUUAAUCUUGAGUAUAGUUGAGGUAGGCGGAAUGAGUAGUGUAGCGGUGAAAUGCUUAGAUAUUACUCAGAACACCGAUUGCGAAGGCAGCUUGCCAAACUAUCACUGACGCUGAUGCACGAAAGCGUGGGGAUCGAACAGGAUUAGAUACCCUGGUAGUCCACGCCGUAAACGAUGCUCACUCGCUGUUUGCGAUACACAGUAAGCGGCCAAGCGAAAGUUUUAAGUGAGCCACCUGGGGAGUACGAUCGCAAGGUUGAA